Molecule: long non-coding RNA, 532 nt
Organism: Herpailurus yagouaroundi (jaguarundi)
Lineage: Eukaryota; Metazoa; Chordata; Mammalia; Carnivora; Felidae
Exons: 2
Source: RefSeq, a predicted model, not a curated record
UAGUGGGAUCCGUUCUGGCUGGUCUCACAAGAUCUUGGAAAAGAGAAGGUUUGUGCUUUAUCCACCUUUGUAUCUCCAGUUCCUACAAAGAUGCCUGGUCCAUAGAACUUCAGUCCUGGUAACGGUAGCAAAACAGUCAGCCAAAGGUCUAAAGAGAAAAACUAAUCAAGAGUAAAGAAGAGAAACCACAAGAAGUGAUACUGCGUUCACUUGGGGAUUAUUUGUGAUGAGAUUGAAUAUAAAUGUAAGAAUCCCGGAAAUGUCAAAAGAAGGCCUUGGAUAAAGCACUCAAAGCCCUGUUUAUCUGUGGGAAAAAGAUUUGUAUUUAGUAGUGGCCUAGUUUUUAAUUUUUCCUGCUCCUCAUAAGGUUUUUGUCCCCUGCACAUAAGGGUUUAAUGCAACUGGUUUUGAAAUAUUUCCCAUUUUGAAUUUGGAAGGCUUAUACUUCAGACCCAGGCUUUUCCUCUCUGUUCUUCCUUUCCAAGAGAUGUCAUUGUACUUGUGCCCAAACACUGCACUAUCCAGAAAAGAA